Molecule: ribosomal RNA, 485 nt
Filed under: uncultured bacterium
Lineage: Bacteria
Description: partial 16S ribosomal RNA
Rfam family: Bacterial small subunit ribosomal RNA
Source: RNAcentral
GAUGAACGCUGGCGGCGUGCUUAACACAUGCAAGUCGAACGAUGAAGGGGGAGCUUGCUCCUCUGGAUUAGCGGCGAACGGGUGAGUAACACGUGAGCAAUCUGCCCCUGACUCUGGGAUAAGCGUUGGAAACGACGUCUAAUACCGGAUACGAGCCGAGCAGGCAUCUGCAUCGGUUGGAAAUAACUUCGGUGCAGGGAUGAGCUCGCGGACUAUCAGCUAGUUGGUGAGGGAAUGGCUCAACAAGGCGGCGACGGGUCGCCGGCCUGAGAGGGUGACCGGCCGCACGGGCACGGAGACACGGGACGGACUCCUACGGGAGGCAGCAGUGGGGAAUAUUGCACAUGGGGCGCAAGCCUGAUGCAGCAACGCGGCGUGAGGGACGACGGCCUUCGGGUUGUAAACCUCUUUUAGCAGGGAAGAAGCGAGAGUGACGGUACCUGCAGAAAAAGCACCGGCUAACUACGUGCCAGCCGCCGCCGUAA